GGAGACGAAAGAAACACACACAUGUUUAGGCAAGGUGCUGGCUAGCUGAGUAGAACACUUGAAAAAGAAGAAGGAGAGCCGCACAUUCUUGGAGCUCAGAGUGUUGGUCAGUCAGCCAGGAUCUGCCGGAACCACCAGCCAGCCAGGAUCUGCCAGAGCCAUCAACCUGCCUGAGCUUCCUCUCAGUCCUGAGCUUCCUCUCAGUCCUGAGCUUCCUCUCAGUCCUGAGCUCCCUCUCAGUCCUGAGCUCCUCAGUACUGAGCUUCCCCUCAGUCCUGAGCUUCCCCUCAGUCCUGAGCUUCCCCUCAGUCUUGAGCUUCCCCUCAGUCCCGAGCUUCCCCUCAGUCCCGAGCUACCCCUCAGUCCCGAGCUACCCCUCAGUCCUGACCUACCUCAGUCCUGAGCUGCCCCUCAGUCCGGAGCUGCCCCUCAGUCCAGUGGGGCCCGUUGUUAGGGUUCCUAGGCCAAGGUCAGCGGCGAGGGUCGCCACUCAAGGGAC
This is a long non-coding RNA of Oncorhynchus tshawytscha (Chinook salmon), 499 nucleotides long. NCBI's taxonomy places the organism in Eukaryota, Metazoa, Chordata, Actinopteri, Salmoniformes, Salmonidae. The record is from Ensembl.